UGGGAUGUGGCUCAGUUGGUAGAGUGCUUGCCUAGCAUGCACAAAGCCCUGGGUUCGAUCCCCAGCGCCGCAU
Molecule: non-coding RNA, 73 nt
Organism: Alexandromys fortis (reed vole)
Lineage: Eukaryota; Metazoa; Chordata; Mammalia; Rodentia; Cricetidae
Source: the annotation of a RefSeq genome assembly